AGAUUAAGUUAUUAAGGGCGCACGGUGGAUGCCUUGGCACUAGAAGCCGAUGAAGGACGUUACUAACGACGAUAUGCUUUGGGGAGCUGUAAGUAAGCUUUGAUCCAGAGAUUUCCGAAUGGGGAAACCCAGCAUGAGUUAUGUCAUGUUAUCGAUAUGUGAAUACAUAGCAUAUCAGAAGGCACACCCGGAGAACUGAAACAUCUUAGUACCCGGAGGAAGAGAAAGAAAAUUCGAUUCCCUUAGUAGCGGCGAGCGAAACGGGAAGAGCCCAAACCAACAAGCUUGCUUGUUGGGGUUGUAGGACACUCUAUACGGAGUUACAAAGGACGACAUUAGACGAAUCAUCUGGAAAGAUGAAUCAAAGAAGGUAAUAAUCCUGUAGUCGAAAAUGUUGUCUCUCUUGAGUGGAUCCUGAGUACGACGGAGCACGUGAAAUUCCGUCGGAAUCUGGGAGGACCAUCUCCUAAGGCUAAAUACUCUCUAGUGACCGAUAGUGAACCAGUACCGUGAGGGAAAGGUUAAAAGCACCCCGGAAGGGGAGUGAAAUAGAACCUGAAACCGUGUGCUUACAAGUAGUCAGAGCCCGUUAAUGGGUGAUGGCGUGCCUUUUGUAGAAUGAACCGGCGAGUUACGAUUUGAUGCAAGGUUAAGCAGUAAAUGUGGAGCCGUAGCGAAAGCGAGUCUGAAUAGGGCGUUUAGUAUUUGGUCGUAGACCCGAAACCAGGUGAUCUACCCUUGGUCAGGUUGAAGUUCAGGUAACACUGAAUGGAGG
RNAcentral lists this ribosomal RNA (775 nucleotides) under Staphylococcus aureus. RNAcentral describes it as "bacterial LSU rRNA". It matches the Rfam family "Bacterial large subunit ribosomal RNA", at positions 1 to 772 of the family's 2925-position model. Lineage: Bacteria; Bacillati; Bacillota; Bacilli; Caryophanales; Staphylococcaceae. The record is from RNAcentral.